CCUACGGGAGGCAGCAGUGAGGAAUAUUGGACAAUGGACGCAAGUCUGAACCAGCCAUGCCGCGUGCAGGAAGAAGGCUCUAUGAGUUGUAAACUGCUUUUGUACGAGGGUAAACGCAGAUAAGUGUAUCUGUAUGAAAGUAUCGUACGCAUAAGGAUCGGCUAACUCCGUGCCAGCAGCCGCGGUAAUACGGAGGAUUCAAGCGUUAUCCGGAUUUAUUGGGUGUAAAGGGUGCGUAGGCGGUCGGAUAAGUUAGAGGUGAAAGCCCGAGGCUCAACCUCGGAAUUGCAUCGGAUACUGUUCGGCUAGAGAGUAGGUGCGGUAGGCGGAAUGUAUGGUGUAGCGGUGAAAUGCUUAGAGAUCAUACAGAACACCGAUGGCGAAGGCAGCUUACCAAGCUACUUCUGACGUUGAGGCACGAAAGCGUGGGGAGCAAACAGGAUUAGAUACCCUUGUAGUC
This 460-nucleotide ribosomal RNA is filed under the name uncultured bacterium. RNAcentral's name for it is "partial 16S ribosomal RNA". It matches the Rfam family "Bacterial small subunit ribosomal RNA", at positions 338 to 795 of the family's 1533-position model. The record is from RNAcentral.